This 466-nucleotide ribosomal RNA is filed under the name uncultured bacterium. RNAcentral's name for it is "partial 16S ribosomal RNA". It matches the Rfam family "Bacterial small subunit ribosomal RNA", at positions 28 to 522 of the family's 1533-position model. The record is from RNAcentral.
GAUGGAUGCUGGCGGCGUGCCUAACACAUGCAAGUCGAGCGGCAGCGCGCGGAGUUUACUCUGUGGCGGCGAGCGGCGGACGGCUGAGUAACGCGUGGGAACAUGCCCCAAAGUGAGGAAUAACUGCCCGAAAGGGUGGCUAAUACCGCAUAUGGUCUUCGGAUUAAAGGAUUUAUCCGCUUUGGGAGUGGCCUGCGUACGAUUAGAUUGUUGGUGAGGUAAUGGCUCACCAAGUCGACGAUCGUUAACUGGUCUGAGAGGAUGAUCAGUCAGACUGGAACUGAGACACGGUCCAGACUCCUACGGGAGGCAGCAGUGAGGAAUCUUCCACAAUGGGCGAAAGCCUGAUGGAGCAACGCCGCGUGCAGGAUGAAGGCCUUCGGGUUGUAAACUGCUUUUAUAAGUGAAGAAUAUGACGGUAACUUAUGAAUAAGCACCGGCUAACUACGUGCCAGCCGCCGCGUAA